RNAcentral lists this ribosomal RNA (480 nucleotides) under uncultured bacterium. RNAcentral describes it as "bacterial SSU rRNA". It matches the Rfam family "Bacterial small subunit ribosomal RNA", at positions 501 to 985 of the family's 1533-position model. The record is from RNAcentral.
CUACGUGCCAGCAGCCGCGGUAAUACGGAAGGUCCAGGCGUUAUCCGGAUUUAUUGGGUUUAAAGGGAGCGUAGGCGGAUUAUUAAGUCAGUGGUGAAAGACGGUGGCUCAACCAUCGUUAGCCAUUGAAACUGGUAGUCUUGAGUGCAGACAGGGAUGCUGGAACUCGUGGUGUAGCGGUGAAAUGCUUAGAUAUCAUGACGAACUCCGAUUGCGAAGGCAGCGUACGGGAGUGUUACUGACGCUUAAGCUCGAAGGUGCGGGUAUCGAACAGGAUUAGAUACCCUGGUAGUCCGCACGGUAAACGAUGGAUGCCCGCUGUUAGCGCCUGGCGUUAGCGGCUAAGCGAAAGCAUUAAGCAUCCCACCUGGGGAGUACGCCGGCAACGGUGAAACUCAAAGGAAUUGACGGGGGCCCGCACAAGCGGAGGAACAUGUGGUUUAAUUCGAUGAUACGCGAGGAACUUUACCCGGGCUUGAA